GACCCGCGCCAAGUGGAGGUUCCAGCAGGCAGGGGUUGCCCCGUGCCCACACAGGAGGAAGUACUGACUAACAAACAUGGUACUGCCAUAACCAGUGGCAGGCCACAGGAUUUUUAUGAACUCUUUAAGGCCUUCAGUCUUGCCUGGCUGUGUCUUGGCCAGCAUGAAGCUUUGAUUUAUCUUGCAGAGCAAAAUCAGUCUGCUGUUACCCAGCAGGUGCAAGUACAGAAUAUGUUAAAGUGUAGGCUUGCACACUGAGACUGUGAAAUGUCCUCUCCAGGGCUAUGAAGACACUUUACCUAAAAUUAGGUCUCCUUGGAGAAUUUGACUUGUUACUGGAAGUGAAAUGCUUUAUCAAAAAUAAACAAAGCCAAAACAAAGAAAAGAA
Long non-coding RNA from Corapipo altera (White-ruffed manakin), 388 nucleotides. RefSeq lists it as uncharacterized. The record is from RefSeq and is a predicted model, not a curated record. Lineage: Eukaryota; Metazoa; Chordata; Aves; Passeriformes; Pipridae. The transcript has 3 exons.